Maylandia zebra (zebra mbuna) is the source of this 261-nucleotide non-coding RNA. The record is from RefSeq and is a predicted model, not a curated record. Lineage: Eukaryota; Metazoa; Chordata; Actinopteri; Cichliformes; Cichlidae.
GUUUCUGUUAGCGAAUCAAGUUCAAGCUCCUCACAUAUCAUCAUCCAGGGUACAGUCAUAUGCUCAUGAGGAGAUCCCACGCAGGUGAAGGUGCUGCCCACCCAUGAUACCAGCAAGGUGCGUGCAAGUGGAUCCGGCCUUAACACCACUGGAGCGCCCACCUCUCUGCCAGUGAAGGUCACCAUUGAUGCCAAAGAUGCAGGACCCAGAGGGGAAGCCCAAGAAGCAGAUAUCUGUGACAGCCAUGAUGGGACCUACCUG